GAUGAACGCUAGCGGCAGGCUUAAUACAUGCAAGUUGAGGGGCAGCAUGAUAUACGCGAGUAUAUUGAUGACGACCGGCGGACGGGUGAGUAAUAGGUAGGAGACCUACCUCAUACAGGGGGAUAGCAUAGAGAAAUCUGUGGUAAUACCCCAUGAGGUUAUAUGAAUAGAGGCAUAUAAUCAAAGCAUAAGUGAUUAUGCGGUAUGAGAGGGGCCUACUGACCAUUAGCUAGUUGGUGAGGUAAGGGCUCACCAAGGCGAAGAUGGUUAGGGGUUUUGAGAGAGAGACCCCCCACAUUGGAACUGAGAGACGGUCCAGACUCCUACGGGAGGCAGCAGUAGGGAAUAUUGGGCAAUGGGCGAAAGCCUGACCCAGCCAUGCCGCGUGAAGGAAGACGGCCUUAUGGGUUGUAAACUUCUUUACUACGCGAAUAGAGGUUAGUACGAGAUACUAAUAGGAAGGUAGUGUAGUAAAAGCACCGGCUAACUCCGUG
Molecule: ribosomal RNA, 494 nt
Filed under: uncultured bacterium
Lineage: Bacteria
Description: bacterial SSU rRNA
Rfam family: Bacterial small subunit ribosomal RNA
Source: RNAcentral